CUUCGGUUGGUAGGUGAGUGGCGAACGGGUGAGUAACACGUAGGAACCUGUCGCACAGUGGGGGAUAACGCGGGGAAACCGGCGCUAAUACCGCAUGUGGUCCGAAAGGAAGAAAGCCUUUGGGCGCUGUGUGAGGGGCCUGCGGCCGAUUAGCUGGUUGGUGGGGUAACGGCCUACCAAGGCGACGAUCGGUAGCUGGUCUGAGAGGAUGGUCAGCCGGACUGGGACUGCGAUACGGCCCAG
Molecule: ribosomal RNA, 243 nt
Filed under: uncultured bacterium
Lineage: Bacteria
Description: partial 16S ribosomal RNA
Rfam family: Bacterial small subunit ribosomal RNA
Source: RNAcentral